CAAUUAAAUGAUGUCAGUGCAUAUUGACAGCAGGAGGGUGGCCAUGGAAGUUGGAAUCCACUAAGGAGUGUGUUACAACUCACCUGCCGAAUGUACUGGCUCAGAAAAUUGAUAGCUAACCAGUAGCAACUAAUUCUCGACGCUAAGUAAGAGAGCGCGAUGAUUGGACAGAAGCUAGAGCGUGAGCCCUAGUUGACCGGUCAUUAUUGCAGAUCUCGGUGGUAGUAGCACUUGCUAAAAUGGAACCUUUUAGGACCACUUGGACGAAGGUUCCACGACAACAGCAAAUGUUCGUGGGUAAGUCGGCCUUAAUCGUGUAGUCGAGAAAAGCAACCAGGUUAAUAUUCCUGGACAACAUAGGAGUACGGUGACGUCAACGCGGGUAUUUGUCAGGUGUUGGAAGGAGGGGAAAACUCUUUCCUUUUAACAGAUGGACGCCUCUGGAACUGUGUGAAACAGAGAUAGAGGCAGACACUGGAAUAACUACCUUCUAUGGGUAGUCCUAAGCCAGCACUUGACCUAUGAAAAAUAUCUGCGUCUUAUGAUGUAGCCGUACCAAUAGCCGCAUCAGGUCUCCGAGACGUAAAGUCUUUGGUUCAAUGGAUGAAUGUAAGCAAGGGAAGUCGACAAGUUCGAUCCGUAACUUCGGGAAAAGGAUUGGCUUCGUGGACUUAGUGAGGCACAACUACAUAUGCGAGGAAUGUGACUCUUACGAGUUGCCCCUCUGCAUGUGCUAGUAACCUCACUAAACAAUACAUGAAACUGACGCGCAAACGAGGAAUCUGACUGUUUAAUCGAAACGUAGCAUCAUGCAGCGUGGUGUGGACAUGAUGUGAUUUCUGCUCAGUGCUUUGAAAGUUAAAGUUGAGCAACCGACAGAAGCGCAGGUCAACAGCGGGAGUAACUAUGACUCUCUUAAGGUAGCCAAAUGCCUCGUCAUCUAAUUAGUGACGUGCAUGAAUGGAGCAACGAGAUUCCUACUGUCCCUGUUUACUAUUCAGCGAAACCACAGCCAAGGGAACGGGCUUGGUACAAACAGCGGGGAAAGAAGACCCUGUUGAGCUUGACUCUAGUCUGGAUCGGUUUGGCGACUUGUUAGGUGUAGAAUAGGUGGGAGAAUUUCGCCAAUGAAAUACCACUACUAACACAGUUUCUGAACCCACGAUGUUAGUGCACCAUCAAAAUGCAUGUACAUCGGCAAAUUCAGAUCGGGAGUUUGGCUGGGGCGGCACAUCUGUUAAAAGAUAACGCAGGUGUCCUAAGACGAGCUCAGGCAGAUCAGAAAUCUGCCGUAGACUGACAGGAUAAAAACUCGCGUGAUUGUAGUCUCCAGUACGGACUACCAAUGCUAACGCAUGGCCUAUCGAUCCUUCACGGUUGAAUUUUUCAGCUAGAGGUGUCAGAA
This 1405-nucleotide ribosomal RNA is filed under the name marine metagenome. RNAcentral's name for it is "eukaryotic LSU rRNA". It matches the Rfam family "Eukaryotic large subunit ribosomal RNA", at positions 1211 to 2811 of the family's 3401-position model. The record is from RNAcentral.